Molecule: transfer-messenger RNA, 343 nt
Filed under: Bacteroidota bacterium
Lineage: Bacteria; Pseudomonadati; Bacteroidota
Also listed under: 3 other names
Rfam family: transfer-messenger RNA
About the family: Bacterial tmRNA, also known as 10Sa RNA or SsrA, is named for its dual tRNA and mRNA-like properties. Its role is to liberate the mRNA from a stalled ribosome.
Source: RNAcentral
GGGGGCGUAUUUGGCUUUGACGACUACCACGGAACCCGAAGUGCAUACCGAGAAUAAACAUACCUCGUAAACUUUGUUUAAAAAUUUAGUUGCAGAUAACUACAACUAUAGAUUGGCAGCUUAAUGUCAACCUGCUAUCAUUUGUGACCUACAACAUUUGAUAGUAGUCAUUUUGUAGGAUAUAUUCAGAUUUCGCCCAGAAUCUGAAAGAAAAUUUUGGGCUUUGGUUUUUGUGUCUUGAUCAUCAGGCUACAAUAUGCCGAGAUUAAUUGAUGAAUCUAAGUAUGUAGAUACGAGGAGAAAGUGAUGACGGACGUGGGUUCGAAUCCCGCCGCCUCCACCA